This 254-nucleotide ribosomal RNA is filed under the name uncultured bacterium. RNAcentral describes it as "partial 16S ribosomal RNA". It matches the Rfam family "Bacterial small subunit ribosomal RNA", at positions 524 to 776 of the family's 1533-position model. The record is from RNAcentral.
UACGAAGGGGGCUAGCGUUGCUCGGAAUGACUGGGCGUAAAGGGCGCGUAGGCGGCUUGCACAGUCAGGCGUGAAAUUCCUGGGCUCAACCUGGGGACUGCGCUUGAGACGUGUGGGCUUGAGUGGGGAAGAGGGUCGUGGAAUUCCCAGUGUAGAGGUGAAAUUCGUAGAUAUUGGGAAGAACACCGGUGGCGAAGGCGGCGACCUGGUCCUUGACUGACGCUGAGGCGCGAAAGCGUGGGGGAGCAAACAGG